UUAUUGAUAUUUAAGGAAAACAACGGAGGGACCCCCAUCAAUCUUCAUUUACCUAGCCAAUUUGAAAGAUUGAGUCACAAAUAAGAUUGCUUAGUAUUUUGAUUUAGUCCAUACCAAUUAGAUCAAUCAUGUGAUGACAAUUAGAUGAGACCUAAACUCAAAUCUCUCCAUAAAUAUUAAGUCCAAUGAUCUUCCAUCGUUGUAGAUGUGCGGGCGUGCUACCGACGUUGAUUAUUCUCGGCUGACCAUAGUGGUUCAGUUACAUCGAAAAUAUGCAACCACUCUAUUAGCAAAG
Molecule: long non-coding RNA, 295 nt
Filed under: Elaeis guineensis (African oil palm)
Lineage: Eukaryota; Viridiplantae; Streptophyta; Magnoliopsida; Arecales; Arecaceae
Description: long non-coding RNA (EGUI_LNC074314)
Source: RNAcentral